GAUGAACGCUGGCGGCGUGCUUAACACAUGCCAGUCGAACGGGAAACCUUUUAUUGAAGCUUCGGCAGAUUUCGCUGGUUUCUAGUGGCGGACGGGUGAGUAACGCGUGGGUAACCUGCCUUAUACAGGGGGAUAACAACCAGAAAUGGUUGCUAAUACCGCAUAAGCGCACAGGACCGCAUGGUCCGGUGUGAAAAACUCCGGUGGUAUAAGAUGGACCCGCGUUGGAUUAGCUAGUUGGCAGGGUAACGGCCUACCAAGGCGACGAUCCAUAGCCGGCCUGAGAGGGUGAGCGGCCACAUUGGGACUGAGACACGGCCCAGACUCCUACGGGAGGCAGCAGUGGGGAAUAUUGCACAAUGGGGGAAAGCCUGAUGCAGCGACGCCGCGUGAAGGAAGAAGUAUCUCGGGAUGUAAACUUCUAUCAGCAGGGAAGAUAGUGACGGUACCUGAAGAAGAAGCCCCGGCUAACUACGUG
This 478-nucleotide ribosomal RNA is filed under the name uncultured bacterium. Its description in RNAcentral is "partial 16S ribosomal RNA". It matches the Rfam family "Bacterial small subunit ribosomal RNA", at positions 28 to 507 of the family's 1533-position model. The record is from RNAcentral.